This 353-nucleotide unclassified non-coding RNA is filed under the name soil metagenome. RNAcentral describes it as "partial contains 5.8S ribosomal RNA, internal transcribed spacer 2, and large subunit ribosomal RNA". The stretch from base 1 to 120 matches the Rfam family "5.8S ribosomal RNA", at positions 35 to 154 of the family's 154-position model. The record is from RNAcentral.
GAUGAAGAACGCAGCGAAUUGCGAUAAGUAAUGUGAAUUGCAGAAUUCAGUGAAUCAUCGAAUCUUUGAACGCAGCUUGCGCUCUCUGGUAUUCCGGAGAGCAUGCCUGUUUCAGUGUCAUGAAAUCUCAACCACUAGGGUUUCCUAAUGGAUUGGAUUUGGGCGUCUGCGAUUUCUGAUCGCUCGCCUUAAAAGAGUUAGCAAGUUUGACAUUAAUGUCUGGUGUAAUAAGUUUCACUGGGUCCAUUGUGUUGAAGCGUGCUUCUAAUCGUCCGCAAGGACAAUUACUUUGACUCUGGCCUGAAAUCAGGUAGGACUACCCGCUGAACUUAAGCAUAUCAAUAAGCGGAGGA